Non-coding RNA from Petromyzon marinus (sea lamprey), 1152 nucleotides. The record is from RefSeq and is a predicted model, not a curated record. Lineage: Eukaryota; Metazoa; Chordata; Hyperoartia; Petromyzontiformes; Petromyzontidae.
CGUAUUUGAAAUCUUUUUUUUACUGAGAAUGUCGUUGUCCAUGUAGGGAGAUGGAGCGCAGUGGAUCGUAUCGUCUCUGCUAUGUUUCGGAAUCCGUGUGACCACCCAGUCACAUCGCCUAACUCCAGUCACAGCGCCUUACACAAACUACAUCUCCCCAACAAGGCAGCCUUCCCGCUGCUGUGUAUUGUGUUUAUGGGAUAACAGAGGUGUCUAUUAUCCCAUACACCUUGACAAAAACGACUGAUUGCCCGCUUAACACCCUAAUCCGUAAACCACUAAUGGUGACAGUGUUGUUUGAGAUCAGCUAUUAAAGUCGCUGCGGCAAAUGAGGUGGUGGCUGGCCGAACCGUGCCUCGCUGUUUGUCUCCGGAGUGAUGACGGAUACAAACCAGACCAAGCGGAGGCCAUGUACCAGAUCGGGUUUUGGUUACUGAUGUUAGAGUGAUUGUGUUGCAAGUGUGGUCACUACGCGUCUGAACAUGCUCAAGCCCCGAAGCUCGGCGGUUGUGGGCAACGCCACGGGACUGCAUUCACUUUAAUUCGAGGACAAUGGAGGGCAUGGGGAACGUGUUUUUACAGCGCUAAUCCAAAAUAAGCGCGCAUUUACACAUUGAGAUGCACUUACAUAUUCAUGCAUGAAACACAAUGGGCACAUUACCAUUCGGUAUGUUAAUAGACAUACGGAUUGUACCUUCCAAAAUUAACAAUCGAAUGCAAAAAUCCUGAAAGACAAAGGAUUGGAUCCUAGGAGGGGAGUUAUAAGGCGGCUCAGAACAGAGCUCAAGGCCAUUUCGAGAGGGAACUUGAUGAGGCUGGACGCUCGACUCGUCGCUCUGCUGAUCGCCCUUCUACCGCGAGACAACGCAGCCUGGUGAACACAAUUGCUGUGUCGGCAGUUAGGCGACUUUGCUUCGUAUGGUGAGUGAAUAUGCGAGUUCGUGGGGACAUCUUCAGACGGGUUACAGACAUCGAUUCACCGUGAAUCUCCAAGCAUCAGAAGGUUCACGACGAUUGGAAACUGAAAUCAAAAGGUGAAAUUCAAGGUGCUGCAAUGAGUCCUGAAGGAGAUUCCACCUUCGAUCCCAUGCAGUUGGAUCCCGAGAGAUGGCUGGAUGUAAUGGAGUGGCUCGAGAGUCAAAACGAGAGCUA